RNAcentral lists this long non-coding RNA (256 nucleotides) under Macaca nemestrina (pig-tailed macaque). Its description in RNAcentral is "lncRNA (ENSMNEG00000046182.1)". The record is from RNAcentral. Lineage: Eukaryota; Metazoa; Chordata; Mammalia; Primates; Cercopithecidae.
AGACAAUCAUCUCAUCUGUGAACCCUGCACUUUUGAGAUCAGAGGAUGGGGCUGUGGAAAUCUUGGAGCUGGAGGAGAGAUCUCCUCAGGAAAUGUUGUAGAUAUAGUCUCAUAGGAUUGAAAUGUGGCUCCUAUCAGAGCUUAACACAGCCCUACAGCCCCGCAGGUGGAAGACUUGUAAUGUACACUGAGAGAUGAGCACAGUUUUUUGUUUCAUGGAAAGUUAUCAUGUAGGUUUCAAUUAAAAAAUAAUAAG